This 465-nucleotide ribosomal RNA is filed under the name uncultured bacterium. Its description in RNAcentral is "partial 16S ribosomal RNA". It matches the Rfam family "Bacterial small subunit ribosomal RNA", at positions 338 to 795 of the family's 1533-position model. The record is from RNAcentral.
CCUACGUGAGGCUGCAGUAGGGAAUCUUCCACAAUGGGCGAAAGCCUGAUGGAGCAACGCCGCGUGGGUGAAGAAGGUCUUCGGAUCGUAAAACCCUGUUGUUAGAGAAGAAAGUGCGUGAGAGUAACUGUUCACGUUUCGACGGUAUCUAACCAGAAAGCCACGGCUAACUACGUGCCAGCAGCCGCGGUAAUACGUAGGUGGCAAGCGUUAUCCGGAUUUAUUGGGCGUAAAGGGAACGCAGGCGGUCUUUUAAGUCUGAUGUGAAAGCCUUCGGCUUAACCGGAGUAGUGCAUUGGAAACUGGGAGACUUGAGUGCAGAAGAGGAGAGUGGAACGCCAUGUGUAGCGGGGAAAUGCGUAGAUAUAUGGAAGAACACCAGUGGCGAAAGCGGCUCUCUGGUCUGUAACUGACGCUGAGGUUCGAAAGCGUGGGUAGCAAACAGGAUUAGAUACCCGAGUAGUC